RNAcentral lists this ribosomal RNA (2907 nucleotides) under Enterobacter ludwigii. Its description in RNAcentral is "23S ribosomal RNA". It matches the Rfam family "Bacterial large subunit ribosomal RNA". Lineage: Bacteria; Pseudomonadati; Pseudomonadota; Gammaproteobacteria; Enterobacterales; Enterobacteriaceae. The record is from RNAcentral.
GGUUAAGCGACUAAGCGUACACGGUGGAUGCCCUGGCAGUCAGAGGCGAUGAAGGACGUGCUAAUCUGCGAAAAGCGCCGGCGAGGUGAUAUGAACCUUUGACCCGGCGAUGUCCGAAUGGGGAAACCCAGUGUGUUCCGACACACUAUCGUUAACUGAAUACAUAGGUUAACGAGGCGAACCGGGGGAACUGAAACAUCUAAGUACCCCGAGGAAAAGAAAUCAACCGAGAUUCCCCCAGUAGCGGCGAGCGAACGGGGAGCAGCCCAGAGUCUGAAUCAGCUUGUGUGUUAGUGGAAGCGUCUGGAAAGUCGCACGGUACAGGGUGAAAGUCCCGUACACGAAAGCACACAGGCUGUGAACUCGAAGAGUAGGGCGGGACACGUGGUAUCCUGUCUGAAUAUGGGGGGACCAUCCUCCAAGGCUAAAUACUCCUGACUGACCGAUAGUGAACCAGUACCGUGAGGGAAAGGCGAAAAGAACCCCGGCGAGGGGAGUGAAAAAGAACCUGAAACCGUGUACGUACAAGCAGUGGGAGCCUCUUUUAUGGGGUGACUGCGUACCUUUUGUAUAAUGGGUCAGCGACUUAUAUUCUGUAGCAAGGUUAACCGUAUAGGGGAGCCGAAGGGAAACCGAGUCUUAACUGGGCGUUAAGUUGCAGGGUAUAGACCCGAAACCCGGUGAUCUAGCCAUGGGCAGGUUGAAGGUUGGGUAACACUAACUGGAGGACCGAACCGACUAAUGUUGAAAAAUUAGCGGAUGACUUGUGGCUGGGGGUGAAAGGCCAAUCAAACCGGGAGAUAGCUGGUUCUCCCCGAAAGCUAUUUAGGUAGCGCCUCGUGAACUCAUCUUCGGGGGUAGAGCACUGUUUCGGCUAGGGGGCCAUCCCGGCUUACCAACCCGAUGCAAACUACGAAUACCGAAGAAUGUUAUCACGGGAGACACACGGCGGGUGCUAACGUCCGUCGUGAAGAGGGAAACAACCCAGACCGCCAGCUAAGGUCCCAAAGUCAUGGUUAAGUGGGAAACGAUGUGGGAAGGCACAGACAGCCAGGAUGUUGGCUUAGAAGCAGCCAUCAUUUAAAGAAAGCGUAAUAGCUCACUGGUCGAGUCGGCCUGCGCGGAAGAUGUAACGGGGCUAAACCAUGCACCGAAGCUGCGGCAGCGACGCUUAUGCGUUGUUGGGUAGGGGAGCGUUCUGUAAGCCGUUGAAGGUGUCCUGUGAGGGGUGCUGGAGGUAUCAGAAGUGCGAAUGCUGACAUAAGUAACGAUAAAGCGGGUGAAAAGCCCGCUCGCCGGAAGACCAAGGGUUCCUGUCCAACGUUAAUCGGGGCAGGGUGAGUCGACCCCUAAGGCGAGGCCGAAAGGCGUAGUCGAUGGGAAACAGGUUAAUAUUCCUGUACUUGGUGUUACUGCGAAGGGGGGACGGAGAAGGCUAUGUUAGCCGGGCGACGGUUGUCCCGGUUUAAGCAUGUAGGCGGAGGUUCCAGGUAAAUCCGGUUCCUUAUUAACGCUGAGGUGUGAUGACGAGGCACUACGGUGCUGAAGUAACAAAUGCCCUGCUUCCAGGAAAAGCCUCUAAGCAUCAGGUAACAUCAAAUCGUACCCCAAACCGACACAGGUGGUCAGGUAGAGAAUACCAAGGCGCUUGAGAGAACUCGGGUGAAGGAACUAGGCAAAAUGGUGCCGUAACUUCGGGAGAAGGCACGCUGAUAUGUAGGUGAAGCCCCUGCGGGUGGAGCUGAAAUCAGUCGAAGAUACCAGCUGGCUGCAACUGUUUAUUAAAAACACAGCACUGUGCAAACACGAAAGUGGACGUAUACGGUGUGACGCCUGCCCGGUGCCGGAAGGUUAAUUGAUGGGGUUAGCGGCAACGCGAAGCUCUUGAUCGAAGCCCCGGUAAACGGCGGCCGUAACUAUAACGGUCCUAAGGUAGCGAAAUUCCUUGUCGGGUAAGUUCCGACCUGCACGAAUGGCGUAAUGAUGGCCAGGCUGUCUCCACCCGAGACUCAGUGAAAUUGAACUCGCUGUGAAGAUGCAGUGUACCCGCGGCAAGACGGAAAGACCCCGUGAACCUUUACUAUAGCUUGACACUGAACACUGGUCCUUGAUGUGUAGGAUAGGUGGGAGGCUUUGAAGCGUGGACGCCAGUCUGCGUGGAGCCAACCUUGAAAUACCACCCUUUAAUGGCUGGUGUUCUAACGUAGACCCGUGAUCCGGGUUGCGGACAGUGUCUGGUGGGUAGUUUGACUGGGGCGGUCUCCUCCCAAAGAGUAACGGAGGAGCACGAAGGUUAGCUAAUCCUGGUCGGACAUCAGGAGGUUAGUGCAAUGGCAUAAGCUAGCUUGACUGCGAGAGUGACGGCUCGAGCAGGUGCGAAAGCAGGUCAUAGUGAUCCGGUGGUUCUGAAUGGAAGGGCCAUCGCUCAACGGAUAAAAGGUACUCCGGGGAUAACAGGCUGAUACCGCCCAAGAGUUCAUAUCGACGGCGGUGUUUGGCACCUCGAUGUCGGCUCAUCACAUCCUGGGGCUGAAGUAGGUCCCAAGGGUAUGGCUGUUCGCCAUUUAAAGUGGUACGCGAGCUGGGUUUAGAACGUCGUGAGACAGUUCGGUCCCUAUCUGCCGUGGGCGCUGGAGAAUUGAGGGGGGCUGCUCCUAGUACGAGAGGACCGGAGUGGACGCAUCACUGGUGUUCGGGUUGUCAUGCCAAUGGCACUGCCCGGUAGCUAAAUGCGGAAGAGAUAAGUGCUGAAAGCAUCUAAGCACGAAACUUGCCCCGAGAUGAGUUCUCCCUGAGACUUUAAGUCUCCUGAAGGAACGUUGAAGACUACGACGUUGAUAGGUCGGGUGUGUAAGCGCAGCGAUGCGUUGAGCUAACCGAUACUAAUGAACCGUGAGGCUUAACCUU